This 560-nucleotide ribosomal RNA is filed under the name Halomonas sp. NH89-28. RNAcentral's name for it is "bacterial SSU rRNA". It matches the Rfam family "Bacterial small subunit ribosomal RNA", at positions 112 to 668 of the family's 1533-position model. The record is from RNAcentral. Lineage: Bacteria; Pseudomonadati; Pseudomonadota; Gammaproteobacteria; Oceanospirillales; Halomonadaceae.
AAUGCAUAGGAAUCUGCCCGGUAGUGGGGGAUAACCUGGGGAAACCCAGGCUAAUACCGCAUACGUCCUACGGGAGAAAGCAGGGGAUCUUCGGACCUUGCGCUAUCGGAUGAGCCUAUGUCGGAUUAGCUAGUUGGUGAGGUAAUGGCUCACCAAGGCCGCGAUCCGUAGCUGGUCUGAGAGGAUGAUCAGCCACAUCGGGACUGAGACACGGCCCGAACUCCUACGGGAGGCAGCAGUGGGGAAUAUUGGACAAUGGGCGAAAGCCUGAUCCAGCCAUGCCGCGUGUGUGAAGAAGGCUUUCGGGUUGUAAAGCACUUUCAGUGGGGAAGAAAUCCUCGGGGCCAAUACCCUCGAGGGAGGACAUCACCCACAGAAGAAGCACCGGCUAACUCCGUGCCAGCAGCCGCGGUAAUACGGAGGGUGCGAGCGUUAAUCGGAAUUACUGGGCGUAAAGCGCGCGUAGGCGGCGUGAUAAGCCGGUUGUGAAAGCCCCGGGCUCAACCUGGGAACGGCAUCCGGAACUGUCAGGCUAGAGUGCAGGAGAGGAAGGUAGAAUU